CGAAGGGGGCUAGCGUUGUUCGGAAUUACUGGGCGUAAAGGGUUUGUAGGCGGUUGAACAAGUCAGAUGUGAAAGCCCAAGGCUUAACCUUGGAAUUGCAUUUGAAACUGUUCAGCUAGAGAAUGUUAGAGGAAAGUGGAAUUCCUAGUGUAGGAGUGAAAUCCGUAGAGAUUAGGAGGAAUAUCGAUGGCGAAGGCAGCUUUCUGGGACAUUUCUGACGCUGAGAAACGAAAGCGUGGGUAGCAAACAGGAUUAGAUACCCUGGUAGUCCACGCCCUAAACGAUGAGUGCUAGACGUCGGAACUUUAGUUUCGGUGUCGCAGCUAACGCGUUAAGCACUCCGCCUGGGGAGUACGGUCGCAAGAUUA
This 368-nucleotide ribosomal RNA is filed under the name uncultured organism. RNAcentral's name for it is "bacterial SSU rRNA". It matches the Rfam family "Bacterial small subunit ribosomal RNA", at positions 526 to 896 of the family's 1533-position model. The record is from RNAcentral.